RNAcentral lists this ribosomal RNA (468 nucleotides) under uncultured bacterium. RNAcentral's name for it is "partial 16S ribosomal RNA". It matches the Rfam family "Bacterial small subunit ribosomal RNA", at positions 28 to 507 of the family's 1533-position model. The record is from RNAcentral.
GACGAACGCUGGCGGCGUGCUUAACACAUGCAAGUCGAACGGAAAGGCCCUGCUUUUGUGGGGUGCUCGAGUGGCGAACGGGUGAGUAACACGUGAGUAACCUGCCCUUGACUUUGGGAUAACUUCAGGAAACUGGGGCUAAUACCGGAUAGGAGCUCCUGCUGCAUGGUGGGGUUGGGAAGGUUUCGGCGGUUGGGGAUGGACUCGCGGCUUAUCGGCUUGUUGGUGGGGUAGUGGCUUACCAAGGCUUUGACGGGUAGCCGGCCUGAGAGGGUGACCGGCCACAUUGGGACUGAGAUACGGCCCAGACUCCUACGGGAGGCAGCAGUGGGGAAUAUUGCACAAUGGGCGGAAGCCUGAUGCAGCAACGCCGCGUGCGGGAUGACGGCCUUCGGGUUGUAAACCGCUUUCGCCUGUGACGAAGCGUGAGUGACGGUAAUGGGUAAAGAAGCACCGGCUAACUACGUG